AACGAACGCUGGCGGCAUGCCUAACACAUGCAAGUCGAACGAGACCUUCGGGUCUAGUGGCGCACGGGUGCGUAACGCGUGGGAAUCUGCCCUUCGGUUGGGAAUAACUGAGAGAAAUUUCAGCUAAUACAUUAUAAUCUCUUCGGACAAAAGAUUUAUCGCCGAGGGAUGGGCCCGCGUAGGAUUAGGUGGUUGGGGGGGGAAUGGCCUACCAAGGCGAGGUUCCUUAGCUGGUCUGAGAGGAUGAUCAGCAACACUGGGACUGAGACACGGCCCAGACUCCUACGGGAGGGAGCAGAAGGGAAUAUUAGGGGAUGGGCGAAAGCCUGAUCCAGCAAUGCCGCGUGAGUGAUGAAGGCCUUAGGAUUGUAAAGCUCUUUUACCCGAGAUGAUAAUGACGGUACCGGGAGAAGAAGCACCGGCUAACUCCGUG
Molecule: ribosomal RNA, 433 nt
Filed under: uncultured bacterium
Lineage: Bacteria
Description: partial 16S ribosomal RNA
Rfam family: Bacterial small subunit ribosomal RNA
Source: RNAcentral